This 294-nucleotide long non-coding RNA is filed under the name Brassica napus (rape). Its description in RNAcentral is "long non-coding RNA (BNAP_LNC016328)". The record is from RNAcentral. Lineage: Eukaryota; Viridiplantae; Streptophyta; Magnoliopsida; Brassicales; Brassicaceae.
GAGAGAUAGUUUGUUCUAGUAGUUCUUUUUAUAUUGUUAUAACUAUAUUGUUAAUUAUUUCUCUCCAUUAGUUUCUUUUCAUAAGUUAUAUUUAUCUAAACCCGGUGUGAAUGAGUGGAGGAGAAGUGAAACAACUGGCAACCUACGACCUCGAACGCCACUCUACUCACCUGACAUGCUUUUUGGCUACCUGCUGCGGCAGAGUACGAACCUGCCAUAGCUCCAUCACGUCGAGGGAAAAUUUGUCCGAUCAUUGCCGAAGGGGUAUGGCGUGGACCGAUAUUGUCACUUCAU